AUUGGUGGAGCCAACAUGGGUGUAGUUCUCCAAAUUUACAAAAGUUGGCCAUUUGGAUCUUAAACCUUACCACUUCUUCAUCCGGUUGUGAGCGCAAUUGGAGUACUUUUGAAGGGAAAAAGAACAGGUUUGAAUCAAAGAGGCUCAAUGACUUAGUAGGUCAAGUACAAUCAAUUCUUGAAGGACAGGUGUGCUAAGAGAGAUAAGAGAGACCCCAUCAGAU
Molecule: non-coding RNA, 223 nt
Organism: Amborella trichopoda
Lineage: Eukaryota; Viridiplantae; Streptophyta; Magnoliopsida; Amborellales; Amborellaceae
Source: RefSeq, a predicted model, not a curated record